UGCAAGGUGGCCAAGUGGUGAAGGCUGUAGUCUACUAAUCCAGUGUGUGCUGCAUGCAUGGGUUUGAAUCCCAUUUUUGCCU
Molecule: transfer RNA, 82 nt
Filed under: Alligator mississippiensis (American alligator)
Lineage: Eukaryota; Metazoa; Chordata; Crocodylia; Alligatoridae
Rfam family: tRNA
About the family: Transfer RNA (tRNA) molecules are approximately 80 nucleotides in length. Their secondary structure includes four short double-helical elements and three loops (D, anti-codon, and T loops).
Source: Rfam by way of RNAcentral